This is a long non-coding RNA of Brassica oleracea var. oleracea, 889 nucleotides long. RefSeq lists it as uncharacterized. The transcript is spliced from 9 exons. Lineage: Eukaryota; Viridiplantae; Streptophyta; Magnoliopsida; Brassicales; Brassicaceae. The record is from RefSeq and is a predicted model, not a curated record.
GUAUUUCUUCUGCACAUUACCUUUGAAAACUAAUACAAUUAUCAAAAUUUUAAUUUACUUCUGAUGCUUUAGGUAUGACAUCACUUUAGAAGGCUAUAUUACUCGGCUGGAGACGGUCAGACAUGUGGAGCUUGAGAUUGGCUACUCGGAUUAAGCUGGUGACAGAGAGCGAGAACUUUUGGAGAAAACUGGCUAGGAACCCCGCACUAACUAUCUGCAAACCAUUGGCAAUGUUAGUGCACCACUAAGAACUGAAAUCAAUAGUUCUAGUCUUUUGUUUAAUCCGUUUGCCAGCAACGCAGGUCACUCGCCAGUGGAAUUAUACAAUGCAUGCGAGACGGCCUCGUCUUAACAUUUUUUGAAGGAAGCCCGAGAGGAAAACAAAACAUAAUCAGGUCCAUCACAAAUGGCUAAGAUUCUUGUUCAUGAAGUUUAACAUUCAGGUAUGGCAUCACUUUAGAAGGCUAUAUUACUCAGCUGGAGAUGUCAGACGUGUGAAGCUUGAGGUAAGAACAUGGCAAAAGAAAGAUCCAGUCGUGGCAGCAGUGAUGAAAUAUGUCAUCUUAUUAGCUCUCAGUAUGUUACUCUGAAAACAGGAGCACGAAAAAGAAACAGGGCCUUCCUUUAUCGAUGGUGGAGACUCUCUAGCGUCUAUCAAGGAAAAUAAGUCCUAGUUCAUCAACAAUGCCUCCACAUGGAUCAUUCUCUUUUGGUCUGAGAUCAGACAUUUACUUGCAAUGCAACCAGUCACUGAACCAGGAACCUUAUGAGUUCUCUGGCACCAUGAAACAGGUUUUGCAGAACAAGUUCAGUAUAAGAAUCUCCAACAAAACUAGUUUGGAUGGCAGAAUAUUUGACGAAGUUGAGUUAAUUACAAAGAAAAUAAUUA